UACGUAGGGUGCGAGCGUUAAUCGGAAUUACUGGGCGUAAAGAGUUCGUAGGCGGUUUGUCGCGUCGUUCGUGAAAAACUUGGGGCUUAACUCCAAGCGUGCGGGCGAUACGGGCAGACUUGAGUACUACAGGGGAGACUGGAAUUCCUGGUGUAGCGGUGAAAUGCGCAGAUAUCAGGAGGAACACCGGUGGCGAAGGCGGGUCUCUGGGUAGUAACUGACGCUGAGGAACGAAAGCGUGGGUAGCGAACAGG
Molecule: ribosomal RNA, 254 nt
Filed under: uncultured bacterium
Lineage: Bacteria
Description: partial 16S ribosomal RNA
Rfam family: Bacterial small subunit ribosomal RNA
Source: RNAcentral